AGCGAACGCUGGCGGCGUGCCUAACACAUGCAAGUCGAACGUGAAAAGGGAAACCUGUGUAACGUGGCGUACGGGUGAGUCACGCGUAGGUAAUCUACCCCAGAAUCUGGAAUAACCUGCCGAAAGGCGGGCGAAUACUGGAUAGAGCGAGGGAACUCGUAAGAGAGUGUUUCGGGAAAGGGAGCCCGCAAGGGCCUUCGUUCUGGGAUGAUCCUGCGUCUCAUUAGCUAGUUGGUAAGGGAACGGCUUACCAAGGCGAUGAUGAGUAGCUGGUCUGAGAGGAAGAUCAGCCAAACUGGAACUGAAGCAAGGUCCAGACUCCUUCGGGGAGCAGCAGGUGGGAAUCAUGCGACAUGGGCGACAGUCUUACUCCGGCACGCCGGGUGAGGGGAGAAGGCCUUCGGGUUGUAAAGCUCUGUCGGUUGGGAAGAAAAACUUCCUAGUGAAUAGCUAGGAGGACUGACGGUACCAACAAAGGAAGCACCGGCUAACUCCGUG
This 498-nucleotide ribosomal RNA is filed under the name uncultured bacterium. RNAcentral's name for it is "partial 16S ribosomal RNA". It matches the Rfam family "Bacterial small subunit ribosomal RNA", at positions 29 to 507 of the family's 1533-position model. The record is from RNAcentral.